GAUGAACGCUGGCGGCGUGCCUAAUACAUGCAAGUCGAGCGAACAGACGAGGAGCUUGCUCCUCUGACGUUAGCGGCGGACGGGUGAGUAACACGUGGAUAACCUACCUAUAAGACUGGGAUAACUUCGGGAAACCGGAGCUAAUACCGGAUAAUAUAUUGAAUCGCAUGGUUCAAUAGUGAAAGACGGUUUUGCUGUCACUUAUAGAUGGAUCCGCGCCGCAUUAGCUAGUUGGUAAGGUAACGGCUUACCAAGGCAACGAUGCGUAGCCGACCUGAGAGGGUGAUCGGCCACACUGGAACUGAGACACGGUCCAGACUCCUACAGGAGGCAGCAGUAGGGAAUCUUCCGCAAUGGGCGAAAGCUUGACGGAGCAACGCCGCGUGAGUGAUGAAGGUCUUCGGAUCGUAAAACUCUGUUAUUAGGGAAGAACAAAUGUGUAAGUAACUAUGCACGUCUUGACGGUACCUAAUCAGAAAGCCACGGCUAACUACGUG
This 497-nucleotide ribosomal RNA is filed under the name uncultured bacterium. RNAcentral describes it as "partial 16S ribosomal RNA". It matches the Rfam family "Bacterial small subunit ribosomal RNA", at positions 28 to 507 of the family's 1533-position model. The record is from RNAcentral.